CACCUCAACCAACGGCGCAUCUGACCACACCUCCACAUCCACACCGCUCCAGCCAGCCGGUCACAAGACAUCGCUCUGUGCCCGCCUCAUGCCGCUGCACCCCUCGGCAGCAACUCCCUCUCAGCAACAGCUAGCUCGCACGGAUCCCGCUUAUCUGAUGGUAAGAACAUUAAUCCUUAAUCUGUGGCAGCAUCUCUGCAUCCUUAGAUAUAUUUUGUAGGUUUUGUUCAGAUGUUGAACUGAACAUUGAGCAUUUUAGUUUCCAUAUGUUUGUGUAGAUGCUUGCUAGAUGUUAGCUAGGGUUUCUGCUGAUGUUUGCUAGAUGUUUGCUAGGGUUUUUGGAGAUGUACCUAUAGUACCUUGAGCAUUAUUAUAGGGUUUGUGCAGAUGUUUGCUACAACUUUGAGCAUUUUUUUUCAAUAUGUUGCAGACCGUCUUGCUGUGCAUGACGGAUAACAGAAGACAUUGACCUUUUUAUAGAAGGGGUACAGCUAUGCACCUUUCAUGCACCUGUUGCUAGGUAUGGUGUAUGUUUUUACUUAACUUUCUAAGAAAUCCUUUAUUGGUCAGCUGUUGCUAUGUUAUCAAAUACCAUAAGGUGUUCAGAAAGCAAGUCAUGAACCAAUGGAGGUUAAACUAUCGUAGAUUGUGGUGUGCCAUAUAAUUAGCUUAUGCAGAAUCAACUGCUUUAAUUUGAAUUUGUGCAAAUUUACCAAAUUAUCACAAAAGUACACUCCCAAGAAAAGUUAUCACCUGAGGAUGAAUUAUUUGGAAUGCAUAUCUCAAAGUAACAUGUUUACUGAUUUCCUAUUAUUAGCCACUUCUAUUACGAACCAGACCCACUUGUGAAGGCCACAUUAACAUUUGCAGGAGCAGCACUGGCACCUAUUGCCCUGCUGUACUGAUGAGGGCCAGAGCGAACUGGGAUGCAUGUGGCGAACAGAGGAUGUAUAUGUCAGCUCCCUCACCUUCAACAUGUCGAUUAUAUGUGAGGGCUUCUUCUUAUUUUUCGUUCUCCAAUUUUAAUUUUUAUUAUCCAUGUGGAAAAAGAUUUUAGGUUGUGUCCUCUCUUUUAAUUUAAUGCUCAGCCAUGUCCUCUUCCAAUUGAAAGCUAUCCAUAUUGACAGCUCCUAUUAUUAAUGUGGGUGCUUUACUCUUCAUAUUUUGAUGCCUAUGCAUUUUACUGGAAAUGUUGUAUGGAGGACUAAAAUUCUUCAUGUGAAAGUAACCGUAGUAGAACUAAGAUUAGUAUAAACUAUUUUCAUGUAUGAUUUCUUUUUAAUUUCUAGCAGUGUAUAAUUGUUGUUUGUGAAUUUUAGGAUUGUAUUAAACAAAACCCAAAAAUUCUUAACACCGGUGCAACGCGCAGGGCUUUUAUUACAUGAAAGGACUUAUUAUUAUGACUAUCAUAAUAUUAAGAUUUUCAUAAUUGUUUUUUUUUGUUCUCUUCCAUGUUAAGAAUUCCAUGCAUGCUAAUUUUGCUAUAUAAUGUGCUUAAGAAAAUGACGUGUUCAGAAUUGCCAGCAAAAAAUUGUAGGUGAACAUACAGGAAAUACAAGAUAAAUCAUACUUUUGAUAGAAUAUCUCAACAAAACAUGAUCCUAGUAUAACAAAUAUAACACUAUUAGAGAAUAUAAAGAUCCAGAAUUAUUCGUACCUAGAGGAACUCGCCUUAAAGAUGCUCCUUGCUUACACAAGGUACUCCUUGGGAAAUUUUCGUCCAGGUCAGCUGUUGUGAUGGCCGAAGGAAGAGCAAGGAGGGGGAGGAGGGAUGGCAGAGAAGGUUAACAUAUAUAUAUAUAUAUAUAUAUAUAUAUAUAUAUAUAUAUAUAUAUAUAUAUAUAUAGGUAGGACAUGCGGAGAAUAACUGGGUAGCAGAUCAAAGCUGAAUAUAGUUCUACCAUAUAUAACAAUGUUUUCUACCAUAUAUACCACUAUUGAUGGUGCAAAUCUCUUUCCUUUUUCCAUAAAAUGCACACCUGUUAAUAAAUAAGCAAAUAACAAAAUAAUCAUAACUUUCUAAAUAAUUAAAUUACUGUAUUAAUUAAAUAAAAAGAUUUUCAUUGCUUGCAUGCCAAAUUUAGCUACAGCAAACAAAAAUCACAGCAUGCACACUACUCAUCUUCCGCAAUUACUAUUUUUGUAUGAUUUAACAGUUUGUACUAAUACUUCAUUCCAUACUUUGGUAGUAAUGUACAGUCUCAUUAUGCUUGUUGCAAUUGUAAUAUCUGAGAGACCACACAAGUUAGAUGAAUGCUGUCAAUUCCAGAUUAUCCAUGGUUUCCCGAUGCCAAAGGUAACCAAUACUAAUUGUGGAUUUAUGGAAUCAACAUUUUAUUUUAGCGUUGAUGUUGAUCAGUACUAAUUGACGUUAUAUUUACCUAUAGUUAUUUUUGCCAAUUAUAAUUCAUGACUUUAUGGAUCUUUUGACAUAUCGUGGAUGUACUUUACUAUUUAGGGCUGCUCGUGUGUUAAUGUGGGAGUUGUAGGAUUUAUACAAGCAUAUUAAGUUAUAAAUCUGCUACGUACUAUACAUGUAAUAAAAAUUGCAUUCACUGCUAUGAUUCAGCAUUUCGUGUCAGCCUAGGACCACAUACAACAUAUGAAUAUUCCAGCAAGUUGAUAAAUCUUGGCCAACCUAGCAACCUAUAAAUAUUUGCAACAAAAAGGCACCAAAUGUCUAUCUUCUGCCACCUAGAGAUCCCCAAGACCACUUGUUCUUUCAAUCAAAUGGAUGAUUAAUCACUACAAAUCGACAUUAGCUCCCCCAAAAAAGUCCAAACCAAACUGUGACUUGAGAGGGAGUUAAACAGAUCGAGUUUAAUCAUGGUCCCACAUAUUUCAAUUUGUCCUUGCUAUUGUUACUUUGAUCUGUGCACACAAAUAGUCAGGGAAUAACUGUCAUACACAGAGCAAUUAGGCGGGAGGAAGACAUAGAGGAAUAGUACAGGCUACAUAGUAUGUUAUCUGAACCACCACAUAGAGCACAACCAGCUUCCUCUUCCCAGCGCCAAAGCCACCAACCCCUCUGCAUCCUCCGUGAGCAGAGCAGAGCACAGCCGGCAGCACGACAACACGCAUGCUUCACGACCUUACAGGAAACCCAUCUCCAUGCUUGGGCGCAGUCGUGCCACUGCACACCAAGGCACCUACUGCGUACAGCAGGCCGGCCGCGCGCUCCUUCCAUAUGCUCUCUGACCGCGCCGCCGACAGAGCAAAGCCUGUCUGAGGAAAUGGCUGAAUUUAUCUUCACCUGCGCCAUGAAUGCGUGGUUAAGACCUGCUCUUGUCCCGGAUGCUGUACCCAAUACCUCGGCUUCUUGCUCGUUCUCUUCUUCCUUAUAGUAUUGCUGCACAUCUCAAAUUCCUAGCGUGGCAGAGGUCAGAACAUAGGGCGAGUGAGAGGGGCAUGGUACCGGCAAGUGAGUGGAAUAUGAUAAUGGAGGAAGAAGGAUAACUCUUGAUGCGCCACCCCCGCCCCGUCAACGACCGCUCGUCGACGUCCAAGCCAAUAAUGAUCCAUAUCUAACCCACUUCCGCCUCCACAUCCUUCUUCGGUUUACCUUAGGCGACAUGAGCAGUGUGGGCGAUAGUUAGUUGUGGUUGGAGGCGCUGGAAACCAGUGGGUUUUUUUAGGGAAAGAGCAGCGAUCGGGAGAGGGGCACGGGGAUCUACUAUCAAGAUCGGCAUGGGGAGUGAUCCUCGGAAUAUUUUUUCGUGAAUUGAUCUUCUAACGGCGGAAAAUGACAAUAGGUGCAGAAACAGUUGGAGGCACAAUGCUGCCGCCGAAGGAUGUAAAUAUCCUGUAACUCUGGCUGCUCAUCUAAUCUAGCGUCAAGCCCUAUUACCCCAGUACAGCUUCUGAAAUGGAGCUAAAUGCUCAGUCAUGGCAGAAAACCGAAUGAUUCGUUCAUGAUGUUGCAACAAAAUCGAUUAAUAAUCCAACAAUAUGGUAAUAAAACCAAACUUCAAUAAUACCAAAACAGCAUAAAGUUCGAAUAGGUUGAUAAUACCAAAACAUCCUAAACUUUUUGAACAUACGUCUAUAGAGGACCCCACUAACUUAUUAUCUAAUUAUUCAUAUCAAAAAUAAAUAAUUAUCAAAACGUUCCAUAACAAAUCUGUAGUGUAGGAAAACAUUCUUGGCAUAUCUGCAUGCAUCAGUCCUUCUUCAGUUGCUUAAAACCCUCAGGGCCGCUCUAAUCUCUGGCGGGAUGUUUGCAGCAGCUUCAUUGUCUUUGAACAUUAACAUGUGGACCGUAGCUUGAUGUCUGAGCUGUAUAGGAUCCUAGGAAAGGUGCAAAAACUCAAAACAUUUAAUAAACUGGUUGGAUAUUAAUUAGCACACAUCAACUCAUCAUUUUUGUACUUACGGUAGUGUUCAUCCAGCCCAUGCUACGCAAACGACCAAUCUGGUGGGCCAUCUCCUGUAGCACAAAGAAGCCGGAGUGUUUGCUGCGACAAAAUAAAUAAAUAUUAAACAUUAUAAAGGUCUGCAUCUUAUGUAUGCAAUAAAUUUAGUAUUUUACUGACGAGCAGCACAGGACAUGGUAUCUUGUUCCCAAUCCAUGAUUUGGUUAUUCCAACCAGCGAUCCUAGUCUGCAACACAGUGUUGAAUUCUUCCUUCAGCAGUGUGAUUUCCUUCCUCAUCAAUAUGUUAUGAGUGCUAUCUUCAGGAUCAAACGUGUUGAAGGAUGGAUCCAUCACGACAACCCUCCUCCUCAGCCGGCUGACUACAAGUAACCCGUAUGACGAAUCCGAAAGUUUCAACAGUAGUAGAUACUGUGGCAGAUCGACACAUAUAAAUUGCUAUUAUAAUAAGUAAAACUAACUUUAGGAAUGAGCUUCUCUUACAAUUACAGAGUUGAACACAUCAUAUUUAGGAAGAGGCGGGACCACAACAUAGUUAAUCAGCGUCGUGAUGCGCUCUCCUUGAGUCAUCCAGGAGUACCUCAGGGCCUGUGACUGAGCAUGAAACUGCAAGUCGAAAUAAUGUUUGCUCCCAACCCAGUUGGUGCCUGCGGUCCUCUCUAAUUCAGCGCUGGCAAGCUUACGUACAACAAGGUUGAAGCAUUCGGGAUGAAGUUUUGUAUGAAAAAAAGGGUGUCCUGGAUCAUUCGGAGGCUGAUGUCGAUCUGGUACGACCGGGAGCUUCUUAUCCAUAUUAAGCUGAAAAAAAUGCCCAACAUAAGACAUCAAUGGUCGUCUUCUAGUUUAACUUUGUCUAUACUAACCUAUAAACCGAAUUUAUGUUUAGAUUGCAUGACAUUGCACGAGGUCAGAUUGUCCUCACCUAGAUGUACAUACACGUAUCAAAUCUAGAACCUUAAUUCAUGGGCUGUGCAUGUCACUCUUCAUGUAGCAUCGGAUUCAACUAAAAAACUUAUACAUGUACCUAUGAAUGUUUUAUGAUUGCCCAUCUAGCUAUCUUUCCUUGGUGUGUAAAACAGUUUUCCAGCAUUAUCUGUAUAUAGUAAAAGAAUGUAUAAUAAGACAACUUACUUUAAUGUAUCUUGGUCUCGAAUGCCCAUGAUAAAGUGAAAUAUGUAUUGGAGUGCAUCUUCAAUGGCAUGCAUUGGUGGGUGCAAAACAUCCAUGGGCGCAGGCACAUCCUCCUGGGGACCGGGAACAUCCUCCUGGGCCGCAGACGCACCCUCUUCGGGUGCGUGUGCAGCGUUCCCAAUGAUCGCCUCCAUUGAAUAGAAAUUUAGUUCUUUAGUUCUCGAUCGGAAAUUGCUGAUGGGAUAUAUGUGAGUUUGGGUGGGUGGAUAAAUAGUAGGCAGAUGGAGUUUAUAAUUUUGGUACCGUGACAUCUAAUAAAUUGGAGAGUUGAUAUUGCCUUCCAAAUGAUCAACGUCGUUUAAUUAAAGCAGUUAUUCAUUUCCAUCUAUAACAUGUUAUAACUUGUGGACGGAUCUGAUCUUUCUCCCCGUAUCAGAUAAUAUAUUCCCGAUUACAUUAUUUCAGCCCACUUUGUCUGUGAAUACAACAGCAAAGGAAGUAAAAGAAACUUCCUUUUCCUCCUCCCCGUGGUCGUCUGUAUGUACAAGCAUUAUAUCUUUAUUAGGGUAAACAUAUCUGUAGAUUUAAUACAAUCUUAUUUUUCUAUCACAGACAAAGUGGAAUAUUUAAUUUAUUAACUCAUAAUAAUCUAUACACCGAAGGAUUGCAACGGAGUACGUCUGCUAAUAAAUCAGAGAAGAUGUAAAAGAUCCAAACAUGUUUAAAACAAAUUUGUUUAUUUAGUAUUUCUUUAAGUUACAAAAUAGUUUUUACGAUGUAUUUCUUUAGUAUUUCUUUAAGUUACAAAAUAUUUUUAAAACAAAAUAGUUUUGCACCAAAAAAAUGCAAUAGAUACAAUCUGUGAUUUGUCUAUUAAAAUAUUAAAGUUGUAAAAGUGAAAUUAUAUUGAAUUUUUUGAUCACUUAUUUUCUCAUUGAAAAUAAUGCUUUGGACUUUUUAUGUCACUUGUUUGCUUGACUGUAUAUAAACUAAUUGUAGUUAUCUAUUGAUGUUUUGAUUUGGCAGCUUUUAUUAUACAUCCCGUUCGACUGCAUAUGAACUCACUUUACAAGACAUUCGACAUGUAGCUAUUAUAAUAAAUCCCGUUAGACUGGUAUGAGAUUUUUUCUUCUUUCUUGAACUCGUCGUGCUCAUGGUAACAUGGGAAUUACUUGAUACUAAUGUAUGGUAUUACAUGUUUCUGUUUUCAGUGUAAAUGUGUUCAUUUACCAACCUAAGAUUGGUCAAUCUACAAUCAGGGACAGCCUUGAUGCCUUCUCAUGUAAGAGUAAGAUCCACAUCAUUUAAAUAACUUGAGUCCAUUACAUCAUGAUAAUAGGGUCAAGCUCCACUUUAAUUUGCAGGUAAAGCAUGCAGGAAAUGAUUGUUGACUUACAAUAAGAUAUGAAUAUGAG
This 6917-nucleotide long non-coding RNA is filed under the name Triticum aestivum (bread wheat). RNAcentral describes it as "long non-coding RNA (TAES_LNC006688)". Lineage: Eukaryota; Viridiplantae; Streptophyta; Magnoliopsida; Poales; Poaceae. The record is from RNAcentral.